AACCCAUGUUGAGGAUAUUUUCACAAGAUUUCCUUGAACCUUUCCCAUGUCUCAAAUAGAGACUCUAAUUCCAUUUUCACAAAGGACGAGAUCUCAUUCCUAAGCUU
This is a small nucleolar RNA of Dioscorea cayenensis subsp. rotundata (Guinea yam), 107 nucleotides long. NCBI's taxonomy places the organism in Eukaryota, Viridiplantae, Streptophyta, Magnoliopsida, Dioscoreales, Dioscoreaceae. The record is from RefSeq and is a predicted model, not a curated record.